GACGAACGCUGGCGGCGUGCCUAAUACAUGCAAGUAGAACGCUGAAGAGAGGAGCUUGCUCUUCUUGAAUGAGUUGCGAACGGGUGAGUAACGCGUAGGUAACCUGCCUUGUAGCGGGGGAUAACUAUUGGAAACGAUAGCUAAUACCGCAUAACAAUGGGUGACACAUGUCAUUUAUUUGAAAGGGGCAAUUGCUCCACUACAAGAUGGACCUGCGUUGUAUUAGCUAGUAGGUGAGGUAACGGCUCACCUAGGCGACGAUACAUAGCCGACCUGAGAGGGUGAUCGGCCACACUGGGACUGAGACACGGCCCAGACUCCUACGGGAGGCAGCAGUAGGGAAUCUUCGGCAAUGGGGGCAACCCUGACCGAGCAACGCCGCGUGAGUGAAGAAGGUUUUCGGAUCGUAAAGCUCUGUUGUAAGUCAAGAACGAGUGUGAGAGUGGAAAGUUCACAC
RNAcentral lists this ribosomal RNA (457 nucleotides) under uncultured bacterium. Its description in RNAcentral is "bacterial SSU rRNA". It matches the Rfam family "Bacterial small subunit ribosomal RNA", at positions 28 to 469 of the family's 1533-position model. The record is from RNAcentral.